UACGUAGGGGGCAAGCGUUAUCCGGAUUUAUUGGGCGUAAAGCGAGCGCAGGUGGUUUAUUAAGUCUGGUGUAAAAGGCAGUGGCUCAACCAUUGUAUGCAUUGGAAACUGGUAGACUUGAGUGCAGGAGAGGAGAGUGGAAUUCCAUGUGUAGCGGUGAAAUGCGUAGAUAUAUGGAGGAACACCGGUGGCGAAAGCGGCUCUCUGGCCUGUAACUGACGUUGAGGCCCGAAAGCGUGGGGAGCAAACAGG
RNAcentral lists this ribosomal RNA (252 nucleotides) under uncultured bacterium. RNAcentral's name for it is "partial 16S ribosomal RNA". It matches the Rfam family "Bacterial small subunit ribosomal RNA", at positions 524 to 776 of the family's 1533-position model. The record is from RNAcentral.